AUAGAUACCCGGGUAGUCCACGCCCUAAACGAUGCGAACUGGAUGUUGGGUACAUUACGGUACUCAGUGUCGAAGCUAACGCGUUAAGUUCGCCGCCUGGGGAGUACGGUCGCAAGACUGAAACUCAAAGGAAUUGACGGGGGCCCGCACAAGCGGUGGAGUAUGUGGUUUAAUUCGAUGCAACGCGAAGAACCUUACCUGGCCUUGACAUCUGUCGAAUCCUGCAGAGAUGCGGGAGUGCCGCAAGGAACGACAAGACAGGUGCUGCAUGGCUGUCGUCAGCUCGUGUCGUGAGAUGUUGGGUUAAGUCCCGCAACGAGCGCAACCCUUGUCCUUAGUUGCCAGCACGUAAUGGUGGGAACUCUAAGGAGACUGCCGGUGACAAACCGGAGGAAGGUGGGGAUGACGUCAAGUCCUCAUGGCCCUUACGGCCAGGGCUACACACGUACUACAAUGGUCGGUACAGAGGGUUGCGAAGCCGCGAGGUGGAGCCAAUCCCAGAAGCCGAUCCCAGUCCGGAUUGGAGU
This 527-nucleotide ribosomal RNA is filed under the name uncultured bacterium. Its description in RNAcentral is "bacterial SSU rRNA". It matches the Rfam family "Bacterial small subunit ribosomal RNA", at positions 778 to 1304 of the family's 1533-position model. The record is from RNAcentral.